GCUAGGCCUGGUGGCGCGUGCCUGUAGUCCCAGCUGAGGAGGCUGGGCUGGGAGGAUCACUUGAGCCCAGGAGUUCUGGGCUGUAGUGUGCUAUGCUGAUUGGGUGUUCGCACUAAGUUUGGCAUCAAUAUGGUGACCUCCCGGGAGCGGGGGACCACCAGGUUGCCUAAGGAGGGGUGAACCGGCCCAGGUCGGAGACAGAGCUGGUCAAAACUCCCGUGCUGAUCAGUAGUGGGAUCGCACCUGUGAAUAGCCAGUGCACUCCAGCCUGGGCAAUGUAGCGAGAUCCUGUCUCU
RNAcentral lists this signal recognition particle RNA (296 nucleotides) under Aotus nancymaae (Ma's night monkey). RNAcentral's name for it is "Metazoan signal recognition particle RNA (ENSANAG00000002209.1)". It matches the Rfam family "Metazoan signal recognition particle RNA". Rfam says of the family: The signal recognition particle (SRP) is a universally conserved ribonucleoprotein. It is involved in the co-translational targeting of proteins to membranes. Lineage: Eukaryota; Metazoa; Chordata; Mammalia; Primates; Aotidae. The record is from RNAcentral.